This is a long non-coding RNA of Pipistrellus kuhlii (Kuhl's pipistrelle), 1079 nucleotides long. RefSeq lists it as uncharacterized. Lineage: Eukaryota; Metazoa; Chordata; Mammalia; Chiroptera; Vespertilionidae. The record is from RefSeq and is a predicted model, not a curated record. The transcript is spliced from 2 exons.
CUUUUUUAAAUGAUUUGUCCAAAGUUUCUAUUCAUCUAUCCUAGCAAUAGAGCCAAGUGUCUGAGAUACAACAGCUGCCCUGGGAAUCUUGUCCAACGAGCAAGUUCACUGCUAUCCACAGUUCUAUCUGGUCUUUCCUACUUCCAAGCAAACAAAAGAUUUUUGUCAUUCUUGGCAUUAGGCAAUGGAAGUAGCAAGACAUGCGGGCCAGGCUCCAGAGGCGGAAUGUCCCCCCACCUGUUUUGUGCUGGAAGACAGGCUUCUAGGGGUGAGGCGGUCUGGGGGGGGGGGGGGGGGGAUGGGUCCUGGAGCGGCAGCUGAAUGCGCCAGCAGGACCCUUGGCAGCAGGAGCUGGGCACUGAGGCUGGGCAUUCAGGAGAGCUAAAUGCAGAAAAGAAACUUGAGCAAACUGCUUCCUGGUCUACUGAGGACCUGAAUGGGAAAUGAAGGCGUACCAGAUUCUCGCUAUUCUUACACAGCCAAGAAAAGUGCUACUGCUGUAUUACGUUCUUGCUUGCAAAGCUCCCCCAUCCCAAAGUUACAGCUUCAAGCACAACCAGGGUGAAAAGCUUCCUCUGGGAAGACAGGUGACUUAUUCUGACUCUCAAGGGGACAGCUCCAUAAGUGGGAGAGCAGAAUGUGCCAGCUUGCUUGUUGACCAUUUCUUGUGUGAUGUCAUGUGAACAAAAAGCUGGGGCUAAAGUCUGGCCUCUCCGGCCUGGCAGACAAAAACCCCACCACUCAGCGGGCCCCUGGACUGGGAGAACUUGAGGCAGGAAGGACCACUUCCAGAGUUGAGCACGCAUUACCUGCGGAGGUGGGCUGGCGGCAGCAGGGGGAACAGGCGCGCGGGCUGUUGUGAAUGUUGUGCCGUGUGCCUGGGGCGUUCUGGAACCCGGGAUUACAGCCUAGAAGCCUAGCAGUUUGGGAAAUUCUUCCAGCAGCUUUCAGUUUUUCAGGAAACACAAAAGUAAUUGUUUACUCAAAAUGAAACCUCAAGGAUGACUUUUAAUUAGAAAAAAAAAAAAUCUUGACUCUAGUUUCCUCUUAAGAAAAUAAAUUCGUUAUUAUGGAACAAA